GGUCCCAUCGUCUAGCGGUCUAGGACGUCAGAUUCUCAUUCUGAAAACACGGGUUCGAUUCCCGUUGGGACUGCCA
This 76-nucleotide transfer RNA is filed under the name Candidatus Enterousia avicola. Its description in RNAcentral is "tRNA-Glu". It matches the Rfam family "tRNA". Rfam says of the family: Transfer RNA (tRNA) molecules are approximately 80 nucleotides in length. Their secondary structure includes four short double-helical elements and three loops (D, anti-codon, and T loops). Further hydrogen bonds mediate the characteristic L-shaped molecular structure. tRNAs have two regions of fundamental functional importance: the anti-codon, which is responsible for specific mRNA codon recognition, and the 3' end, to which the tRNAs corresponding amino acid is attached (by aminoacyl-tRNA synthetases). tRNAs cope with the degeneracy of the genetic code in two manners: having more than one tRNA (with a specific anti-codon) for a particular amino acid; and 'wobble' base-pairing, i.e. permitting non-standard base-pairing at the 3rd anti-codon position. Lineage: Bacteria; Pseudomonadati; Pseudomonadota; Alphaproteobacteria. The record is from RNAcentral.